RNAcentral lists this ribosomal RNA (490 nucleotides) under uncultured bacterium. Its description in RNAcentral is "partial 16S ribosomal RNA". It matches the Rfam family "Bacterial small subunit ribosomal RNA", at positions 30 to 507 of the family's 1533-position model. The record is from RNAcentral.
AUUGAACGCUGGCGGCAUGCCUUACACAUGCAAGUCGAACGGCAGCAUGAUCUAGCUUGCUAGAUUGAUGGCGAGUGGCGAACGGGUGAGUAAUACAUCGGAACGUGCCCUGUAGUGGGGGAUAACUAGUCGAAAGAUUAGCUAAUACCGCAUACGACCUGAGGGUGAAAGUGGGGGACCGCAAGGCCUCAUGCUAUAGGAGCAGCCGCUGUCUGAUUAGCUAGUUGGUGGGGUAAAGGCUCACCAAGGCGACGAUCAGUAGCUGGUCUGAGAGGACGAUCAGCCACACCUGGACUGAUACACGGCCCAGACUCCUACGGGAGGCAGCAGUGAGGAAUUUUGGACGAUGGGCGAAAGCCUGAUCCAGCAAUGCCGCAUGUGUGAAGAAGGCCUUCGGGUUGUAAAGCACUUGUGUCCGGAAAGAAAUGGCUCUGGUUAAUACCUGGGGUCGAUGACGGUACCGAAAGAAUAAGGACCGGCUAACUACGUG